GGCAACGUAGCUCAGUCGGUUAGAGCACCGCAUUCAUAAUGCGGGUGUCGCAGGUUCGAGUCCCGCCGUUGCUACCA
Molecule: transfer RNA, 77 nt
Filed under: Methylomagnum ishizawai
Lineage: Bacteria; Pseudomonadati; Pseudomonadota; Gammaproteobacteria; Methylococcales; Methylococcaceae
Description: tRNA-Met
Rfam family: tRNA
About the family: Transfer RNA (tRNA) molecules are approximately 80 nucleotides in length.
Source: RNAcentral